UUGAGAGCCCUUACCGUUGUGGUUCUACUGUGGAGGCAGCGGGCGUAGCGACCGGGCGCAAGCAGCCGAGCGGGCGGUGGAGAACCAGUCGCAAAAGUCUGCGGAAUUGUGGGAUCCAGUGAAGGCGGGUUCGUGUGUCGGUUGUGACAGAGCGAGGUGAGCCCGAGCGCGAAGCCCAGCUGGCGCUACAACCUUUGGGUCAAAAGUCAACGAUAGCCGCUGCGGGCCAGGCGCGUGGCCUCGCUGGGUCGCUGGUUGCACCCAGCAUGGCGUUUCGCAAGCUUAACUGGUUUUGGUUGCAAGUUCCUUCGCGGCGAUGCUCCAAUUGCGCCCUAUGCACUGGUUGCAGGUCGUCGGCGGUGUUCCGGCGUCAUGCUUCCGUGGCAAAAUGUAUGAUGCGCUCCGGUCAUCGAGUCGCAUGUGCCGGAGGGACCAAUAGCAGGCAGCGCAGCUUAGAAUUGCAAUCGGUGAGUAUAUGUAGACAGCCACUACUAACGUGUAUCAUUAGCGACCAGUCAUACUUGUGGCGCGUCGGCACGCCGCACGCGUGCCCGCCGUCACUCACCCCAAAGGGGUCUGUUCCCGACACUCGCGCCAGCCGUACCGAUGCGCCAGCAUUUCGCGCAACCAUACCAUCUGACGGAGCGCUAUGCGCAAUCAUCGCUUACCGAAUGCCGGCUCAGGUUCCUAUCCGCAACUGCUCCAUCCCCACUAAGUUACGGUACUCACUUCCCCUCCUUCACACCCUUUCCUGCCUGCCUCCACNNNNNNNNNNNNNNNNNNNNNNNNNNNNNNNNNNNNNNNNNNNNNNNNNNNNNNNNNNNNNNNNNNNNNNNNNNNNNNNNNNNNNNNNNNNNNNNNNNNNCUCCGCUGUGCCAAUGUCUGGUGGCAAGGGAAAGGCGCCAUCGCUGACACCGUACUCCCUUUCAGCCUCCACGGCUGAGACCAUCUUCACGCCUGGAGCAUUGGGGUUGACAAGCUUGCGCAACCACGCUGCUGAGCGGUCCAGCCGGUCACCCCACUGCUCGGGGCUGAGGAAGGGGCGGUGCUCCACCUUUAAGUUCUUUUGGAGGGUUGGAUCGUAGUGUUGCAUGGAGCGCCACAGGGAUUUGAAAGUGAUCUUGUGGGAUUUGAGAACGUCUUGAAAGGGCGCGUCGUGCUCGUACUUGGCGGCAGAGUCAUAGUGGACGCUCUUGACGUGGUCGACCAGGGUUUUCAGGAUGGGGUCCGACACCGUGCGCGGCCGGCCUGGGCGUGGCUUGGGCUCUGUCCCGCCAGUGUGCACGUAGCGCACGUACCACUUCUUAAUCUGCUCUGCCAUAUGCUUGGGUGAUGCCUCCCAUGGUGUGUAAUCAACUGGCUGCGGGAAGAUCUCUGGGCAUGCCUCGCGUGCCUUGAACUCCGCCACGGCAAUGGGGCCCCAGCGCUGAGGUGUGGUGCCACGUGUGGUAAGCCCAGAACGGUAACAGGCCUGAAUGGCAAUGGCGGCUACUAGCGCAGCUACCAUUCGCCGCCAUGCGUCCGUUGACAGGUUGGAAUAGAUGGUGCCAGUGGUAGCAUCCAUCCUUUCACCUGUGUGCGUCGGUGAUGGGGUUUGCGGGUGCGUGGUGAGAGAGGGGGACAGGUGCACGCUAUCAUGAACCAGGCUAAAUUCGUAAUAAUUCGCCCCCCAUGCGCCACAAACCCCACCCAACCUGAAACCCCUUAGUUCCCCAGAUCCAUUUCCACGUCUGAAGGCGGGUUCGUGUGUCGGUUGUGACAGAGCGAGGUGAGCCCGAGCGCGAAGCCCAGCUGGCGCUACAACCUUUGGGUCAAAAGUCAACGAUAGCCGCUGCGGGCCAGGCGCGUGGCCUCGCUGGGUCGCUGGUUGCACCCAGCAUGGCGUUUCGCAAGCUUAACUGGUUUUGGUUGCAAGUUCCUUCGCGGCGAUGCUCCAAUUGCGCCCUAUGCACUGGUUGCAGGUCGUCGGCGGUGUUCCGGCGUCAUGCUUCCGUGGCAAAAUGUAUGAUGCGCUCCGGUC
RNAcentral lists this long non-coding RNA (2020 nucleotides) under Chlamydomonas reinhardtii. RNAcentral's name for it is "long non-coding RNA (CREI_LNC000908)". The record is from RNAcentral. Lineage: Eukaryota; Viridiplantae; Chlorophyta; Chlorophyceae; Chlamydomonadales; Chlamydomonadaceae.